RNAcentral lists this long non-coding RNA (536 nucleotides) under Sorghum bicolor (sorghum). Its description in RNAcentral is "long non-coding RNA (SBIC_LNC011640)". Lineage: Eukaryota; Viridiplantae; Streptophyta; Magnoliopsida; Poales; Poaceae. The record is from RNAcentral.
CGCCGUUGCCCACGCGCUGCUCGCCGUCGUGCGCUGCUCCCUCUCGAUCUCCUCGCGCCCCUACCCCCGGGCGUGGUUCCUGCCGACACCGCCCGCGGACGUCCUUCUUCUCGCGGCCCGGCUCGGCUCUGCCUCCACUGGGGCUUUGGAUCUCGGCCACCGCUCCUCGUGAGUCCCUUCUCUGGGGGUCAUUGUAUUUUUUCUCGGCAUAGCUGAAUUAUGCUUAGUUGUAGUAGUAUUUUUUCUCUGUUCUUUCUGAGGGUCAUUGUUAGUUUAACAUUAGAUCCGAAUACUAUGUUUUACUGUUACUUAAAUGUGCUCAUGUUUAAAACAGUUCAGCUAUGAUGUGCUCAUGUUUAAAUCGCUUGUGAGGUAAAUUUAGGGUUCAGUGAGGUAAAUUUAGGGUAAAUUUAAUUGUUCGCUUGUGUUUGUGUGAUAUCUGUGGUUGCCGGCCAUCGAGCCGUUUGUUUUUGUAGGUUUGGAAAACCUCACCCUGCAGGGGAGGUGCUGCCGAAAUUUUGAAUUGAUGAUCGUGU